AGUGAACGCUGGCGGUAGGCCUAACACAUGCAAGUCGAACGACAGCACCGUAAGAGCUUGCUCUUACGGGUGGCGGGUGGCGGACGGGAGAGGAAUGCAUCGGACUCUACUUUUUCGUGGGGGAUCGCGUAGGUAAACUUACGCUCAUACCGCAUACGACCUACGGGUGAAAGCAGUGGAUCUUCGGGCCUUGCGCGAUUGAAUGAGCCGCUGUCGGAUUAGCUAGUUGGCGGGUUAAAGGCCCACCAAGUCGACGAUCCGUAGCUGGUCUGAGAGGAGGGUCGGCCACACGGGAACUGAGACACGGUCCAGAGUACUGCGGGAGGCAGCAGUGGGGAAUAUGGGGCAAUGGGCGCAAGCAUGAUCCAGUGAUACCGAGUGGGUGAAGAAGGCGUUCGGGUCGUAAAGACCUUUUGUUGGGAAAGAAAAGCAGCAGGUUAUUACCCAGCGGUUCUGACGGUACCCAAAGAAUAAGCACCGGCUAACUUCGUG
Molecule: ribosomal RNA, 492 nt
Filed under: uncultured bacterium
Lineage: Bacteria
Description: partial 16S ribosomal RNA
Rfam family: Bacterial small subunit ribosomal RNA
Source: RNAcentral